GUUACCAAGAGUCGACAUGGCCUAAACGUCAUCAAAAUGAGACGCGUUCUUGUAGUCCGCACUACCGAUUUAGACCAACUUCCAAUUCCGACACUCCAUCCUACGCUCCUUGGUUAAGUGCGCGCGUCGUAGAAAUGGAGGCAGCGUACGAGAGCGCUUGGGAGUCCUUUUUCUUGUGUGCUUGUUUAUUUUGCCGUUCUUUUUUUCUUGUUUGUGAUUUUUUUUUAUUUUCAUGCGUGUUUCGUAAUGAGUUCUUGUUUGCAAUUUGUGUGCGUGUCGAUUUGCCCCGAAGGGCUACCGUAUCAAACUGACCAAACAGAGCAAAGGUUAAAUAAAGUAACUGACCCGCGAGCAGCCUAUACGAUGCGAGUGUGUGAGCGCGUGCGUCGGGACAGAGAAUAAAUAGUUCCACUUUGCCUCCUUUGAGCCAUUUUGCAGCUUCCCGCUCGUGUACAGCGACCCAGCAUGAAGCCGUUCCUGUUCCCGCUGCUGCUACUGCUGCUGCCCCUCUGUUCAGGUUUCUUUUGCGCUUCUCGGACUCGGACGUGUUAUCGCGUGUCCCGUUCAAAGAGUUCCACCGCUUGUGUGCGUCCCCGCAGCGGAAUUUAGCAUCGACUGUUUCAGUUUGGACCCGCUGAAUAUGCAGCCGCCCGUCCUGACGUGUCGGGGUGAAGUACAGCAGGCGUGCUACACCAGAGACAACGGCGAGAAGGGCUGCGUGACGUUGGACAAGUGCUCCCGUCCCGGAUGGACGUGUUGCCACGGCUCCCUGUGCAACGCGUGAGCCCGUCGGCCAAUAAACGAGCGCGACAGGCCGCCCGCUCGUCUCACUUCUUGAUCGACGCGUAAGAGCUUCUUCCGGCUCGUCGACGUCGUUCAAAAACGUGUGGAGGCAAAAGCAUCGCGAUGAAAUGACACACGAAUCGACCAUUCAAUCCAAUAAAGCGUCACGCUCCUUAUUAUUCUGUGUUAGAGGAGUGACACGAAUGAA
Long non-coding RNA from Hippocampus zosterae (dwarf seahorse), 991 nucleotides. RefSeq lists it as uncharacterized. The record is from RefSeq and is a predicted model, not a curated record. The transcript has 2 exons. NCBI's taxonomy places the organism in Eukaryota, Metazoa, Chordata, Actinopteri, Syngnathiformes, Syngnathidae.